GUGAAGACCUAGAUGUUGAACAUAAUUUUAAAGAGAUACAUAACAUGUUUUCCCUCCACACCAAACCCAGCAGUACCAAGAAAUAAGAAUAAUGCUAUAUUUACUGCACAGAUUUGAUAGGAAGGAUUGAGAACAUAGAACAGAGAGCACAUGUUCAGCAAUGAAGAUAAAAUGUAAUAGUAAACAGCUGUCUCAAUUCCUUGACCUUGGGGUAAUUUCUGUACCAAAUACAGACUGACUUCUCUGUUAAAAUAGCAUGUGACCACAUCAUUGAAGACCACAAAAGAACACAAAAAUGAAGGCUUACCAGACAAUCUGAAACGUGUUGUUACAGCUCACUGAGAAAUUCAAAAAAUAAUUCUGCAAGAUAUUUUAAAUGUGUUUCAUUUUGAAAUGUCUGAAAUGUCAUCGUUUUAAUGUGUUUGAAAGCAGUACUGAAAAUGGUGUUGAACUAAAAACAUUUGCAUAUUGAAACUUUUUUAGAAAUUAAGAACAGGAGAUCCUGAGAGAACAUUCAGCAACCUGGACAUUCAGUUGCUUAUUUCCUUAUGAAACUGGUCUUAAAUCCAGUCGAUGAGAACUUGAACUGGAGUCAGUUUUCAAGAGGCCAAGGUUUCUCUCUGGACAAGAAAAGCAUUACUUCUGACAGACUGUGGGACGUUGCUGGCCGUUUAGCUUCUACCUCUCCACAAGCAGAACCAGGCACAAGCCACUUCAGAAUUAAGGAUUCACUUACAUCAGUACCGAAUGAGUGCAAAAUGAAUGGACCUAAGUGAAUACUGAUUCAGGUUUCCAUUUCUACAUUGCUUCCUUAUUGAUGGAGUUCUUCAGCCCCUCUUCACUUGACAGAGAUUUACACAAUCAUCUACACAUGAGUUAAAAUACAAAAAGAACGCUUAAAUUCUUUUAUAAGAAUGUCAGAUCAUACACUGUAAAUCAUUAACAAGUUUUUUUCCUUAGUAUUUCAUUUCAUUUCAUACUCCUAUCCAUCUUGUAUUGCUUUCCACUCGCUUACUGAAAACUAUUUAAAGUUUGUAAGUAAACUAAAAUGUAAAACUGAAAUACUAAAAUAUAAAAUGUGCAGUCUUUUUUUACAUCCCUCUAUCAUCUCUUUGGUGUUCUGCACAAUAAUAAUAAAUGCUCUGUUUUUCUUAUAUUUCUGUUCCUAUCAUGAUAAUGCAUUAUUUUUUAA
Dromaius novaehollandiae (emu) is the source of this 1192-nucleotide long non-coding RNA. RefSeq lists it as uncharacterized. The record is from RefSeq and is a predicted model, not a curated record. NCBI's taxonomy places the organism in Eukaryota, Metazoa, Chordata, Aves, Casuariiformes, Dromaiidae. The transcript has 4 exons.